UACAGAGGUCCCAAGCGUUGUUCGGAUUCACUGGGCGUAAAGGGUGCGUAGGCGGUCGGGUAAGUCUGAUGUGAAAUCUCACAGCUUAACUGUGAAACUGCAUUGGAUACUAUCCGGCUAGAGGAAUGGAGGGGAGACUGGAAUACUUGGUGUAGCAGUGAAAUGCGUAGAUAUCAAGUGGAACACCAGUGGCGAAGGCGAGUCUCUGGACAUUUCCUGACGCUGAGGUACGAAAGCCAGGGGAGCAAACGGG
RNAcentral lists this ribosomal RNA (253 nucleotides) under uncultured bacterium. Its description in RNAcentral is "partial 16S ribosomal RNA". It matches the Rfam family "Bacterial small subunit ribosomal RNA", at positions 524 to 776 of the family's 1533-position model. The record is from RNAcentral.